Molecule: ribosomal RNA, 403 nt
Filed under: Verrucomicrobiota bacterium
Lineage: Bacteria; Pseudomonadati; Verrucomicrobiota
Also listed under: 1 other name
Description: Verrucomicrobia bacterium partial 16S ribosomal RNA
Rfam family: Bacterial small subunit ribosomal RNA
Source: RNAcentral
UGGGGAAUAUUGCACAAUGGAGGGAACUCUGAUGCAGCGACGCCGCGUGAACGAAGAAGGCUUUCGAGUCGUAAAGUUCUUUUAUAUGGGAAGAUAAUGACGGUACCAUAAGAAAAAGCCCCGGCUAACUACGUGCCAGCAGCCGCGGUAAUACGUAGGGGGCUAGCGUUGUCCGGAAUCACUGGGCGUAAAGGGUUCGCAGGCGGAAAUGCAAGUCAGUUGUGAAAGGCAGAGGCUCAACCUCUGUAAGCAAUUGAAACUGUAUUUCUUGAGAUGUGGAGAGGCAAGUGGAAUUCCUAGUGUAGCGGUGAAAUGCGUAGAUAUUAGGAAGAAUACCGGUGGCGAAGGCGACUUGCUGGACACAAACUGACGCUGAGGAACGAAAGCGUGGGUAGCAAACAGG